UAGCAGCACAUCAUUACUGGUAUUUCUUUUCACUGCAUUACCAGUAUGUUAUGUGCUGCUUCA
Molecule: microRNA precursor, 63 nt
Filed under: Oreochromis niloticus (Nile tilapia)
Lineage: Eukaryota; Metazoa; Chordata; Actinopteri; Cichliformes; Cichlidae
Description: microRNA oni-mir-457 precursor
Gene: oni-mir-457
Source: miRBase by way of RNAcentral